GCCGCAUUAGUUUAAUGGAUAAAACAUUGACCUCCUAAGUCAAAAAGUUCGUGUUCGAAUCACGAAUGCGGUGCCA
RNAcentral lists this transfer RNA (76 nucleotides) under Anaeroplasmataceae bacterium. Its description in RNAcentral is "tRNA-Arg". It matches the Rfam family "tRNA". Rfam says of the family: Transfer RNA (tRNA) molecules are approximately 80 nucleotides in length. The record is from RNAcentral. RNAcentral also lists the same sequence under 1 other name. Lineage: Bacteria; Bacillati; Mycoplasmatota; Mollicutes; Anaeroplasmatales; Anaeroplasmataceae.